UAACUGCCUUCCUCUGUGUGGAUUAAUUAAAGACUAUUUACCCUUGAGUUUCAUCUUCCUGUGCUUUCCUCAACACUAUCCUCAAGUUCCAGCCCAUGUCACCAGAGCCACUGCAGAUGUGUCCAGUCCCGCUCAGCCAUGCAGUAUUGUCUCAACAGCUCCUUCUGGGGCAUUAUUGCAAGGUCCAUCUGUAGUUCCACUUCCUCGUUUGUGUUCUGAGACCUUGCCACCAGAGGAUCACAAGUGGAUUGGCAAAAGGCUUUUUAAAAUGGGAUUCCCAGGGAACAUACAUACUGGGCCUCUUGGGCAUGGUUUUCGGAUUGGCAGCUGGUUGUGAACUGGUGCCCUGCACAACUGUAGGCUGUAACCGUGGCAUUCCCUGGACCAUUGGGAUUCCCUGAACCAUUGGUACUCCCUGACCAACUGGCAUUCCCUGGACCAUUGGCAGUCUUUGAACCAUUUGCAGACCUUGGAACACUGGCACACCCUGGAAACCUGGUGCUGCUGGUAUAAGUAUGUUGGGUAACAUCUGCACUGAUGCUCCAGGUGCUGAUGGUGUAACCAGUGUAAGACUCUGUGCUGGUGCCUUGGGUCUGAGAGGUGGUCUUCCAGUAGAAAUCUGCCUCUGCUUUGCCUGACCUGCUGUGCACUCUGGUAGCUUGUACUGGUGCUGCUCCCCUGGUUGUUCUGGCUCAGUCCAAAAGGCAUUUGGCAGCCUUGGAGAGGUUCCUGAGCUUCAGGGGGGGGCUGAGGCAACUGAAUGCCCUGAAGCAGCACAGACAGCUCCUGCAUUUUAUGUCUGUUAUACCACUGAAUCAGGGUGUUCUGGUUAACCUCCACCAGCCGCAUUGAGGCCCCCCCCAUCAACAAGCUGUUGCCCAGUACAAGCUACCUUAUCCUUCUGUAGUCUUGGAGGAUCAGAGACCAUCUCGACAGCAUUCCCUUGCCUCUUCUUUUGGGGCUUGGGUGAAUAGUGCAAAGCAUGAUGAAGAUGGUCUCCACCAGACCGUCAGGCCACUGAGCUGGUGCGCUGCUUGCACCCAGCACACUUCUGGUGGUGCUCUCUACUCCUCUGGCUCUGAGGAGUGUGGUGAAACAGGUGUUCCAGAGGUAACAGGUGGGACGGCAGUCCCUGAGGGUCCAGGUGAUGAAGGAGAAGGUGUAGGGUCAGGGACCAGUGAAGGGGAUAUGCAACCCAGUACAGCCGUGUCACUGCUGGUGACCAGGGUGGAAGAGCCCAGUGUCAGUGUGGAGGAGGGUGGUGACAGAACAACCUCUGGAUCUGCAAUGGUGUGAUCCUCGCUCAUGUCACAGAAGCCCUCAUCUUCAUCUCGCUCCUCUACAUUUAGGUCCUCGAUGAGUUCUGCUGUCUCUUCAGAGUCUAGGUUCAUGUCCUGCAGUGCUUGACCAGUCUGCUGGAACAGAUACUGCACUCCAAUGAGCUCAUCUGGAAUAAAAAUAAUAAACCGGAAUUAAAUACACAGGUUGUGUAUCAUAUUUGAUACAUAAGGCCUUAGAAGUAGCUCAUAUAGUGUAAUAAUGUGAGAACAUGGAGCUCAUAGUCGAGGAGAAAAAAAAAUAUUCAGAGGCCAUAAGCCUAUAACUGUGGGGGC
Molecule: long non-coding RNA, 1613 nt
Organism: Cyprinus carpio carpio
Lineage: Eukaryota; Metazoa; Chordata; Actinopteri; Cypriniformes; Cyprinidae
Source: Ensembl